Molecule: ribosomal RNA, 469 nt
Filed under: uncultured Anaerolineaceae bacterium
Lineage: Bacteria; Bacillati; Chloroflexota; Anaerolineae; Anaerolineales; Anaerolineaceae
Description: bacterial SSU rRNA
Rfam family: Bacterial small subunit ribosomal RNA
Source: RNAcentral
AAACUCAAAUGAAUUGACGGGGACCCGCACGAGCAGCGGAGCGUGUGGUUAAUUCGAUGCUACACGAAGAACCUUACCAGGGUUUGACAUGCAAGUGGUAGGAAACUGAAAGGGACCGACCUUCGGGGAGCUUGCACAGGUGCUGCAUGGCUGUCGUCAGCUCGUGUCGUGAGAUGUUCGGUUAAGUCCGCUAACGAGCGCAACCCUCACUGUGUGUUAUAUGUGUCACACGGGACUGCCGGUUUUAAGCCGGAGGAAGGUGGGAUGACGUCAAGUCAGCAUGGCCUUUAUAUCCUGGGCUACACACACGCUACAAUGGUCGGUACAAUAGGUUGCCAAGCCGCGAGGCGGAGCCAAUCCAUAAAAGCCGGCCUCAGUUCAGAUUGUAGGCUGCAACUCGCCUGCAUGAAGAUGGAGUUGCUAGUAACCGCAGGUCAGCAAUACUGCGGUGAAUACGUUCCCGGGGCUU